Molecule: non-coding RNA, 47 nt
Organism: Pelodiscus sinensis (Chinese soft-shelled turtle)
Lineage: Eukaryota; Metazoa; Chordata; Testudines; Trionychidae
Source: Rfam
AAAACGGCUCUUUUAAGAGCCACCUUAAACCAUUCCCAGAAGAGCUU